CAGUCAGGCUGAGCUGCUCCCGGUCGGGCAGGAAAACGCAGACGCUGCGGCCCUCAGGGUGCAUCCUGCCGGACAGCAGCGCCCGGCUCAUGGCGGGCAGCUCCGUGUGGCCCCGCCAGCAGCACCCGAUGUCUCCUCUCCGCUGUGGAUGGGCGUCAGGCUCCUUUCAUCCCACGCACCUGCGCGGGACGCCCCCGGGGCUCAGCCGUUCCGUCUGGGGCUGCAUCCGACGCGUGCCGAGCCGAGAGCGG
This 251-nucleotide long non-coding RNA is filed under the name Gallus gallus (chicken). Lineage: Eukaryota; Metazoa; Chordata; Aves; Galliformes; Phasianidae. The record is from RNAcentral.